Molecule: long non-coding RNA, 413 nt
Organism: Solea senegalensis (Senegalese sole)
Lineage: Eukaryota; Metazoa; Chordata; Actinopteri; Pleuronectiformes; Soleidae
Exons: 5
Source: RefSeq, a predicted model, not a curated record
UUGUCCCUCAGGUGGUGGAGUACAGAGAACGAUGUCGGCGCUUGGAGCUUCAGCUUCAGGAUGAAAACACACAACUGAUCAACACUGAGAGCUGUGUCAGAGGUGAAUGCAGUGACUCCCUCGAGAGCGCCCUCGUCAGGUUGGAGGAGGAACAGCAGAGGUCUGUUGGGUUAGUCGAGACAAACACGUUCUUGUGUGAGAAACUCAAACAUUCAGAUCACACCAACCAGGUCCUGAGGGAGGAGCUCCACAAGCUGAAGUGUGUGGAGGGGGUGGAGCCCAGAGAGUGUGAUUGGCUGAGAGAGAAGCAGCAUCAAACUCCAGCUUCUGUCUGCAGAUCUGAGGAUUCUGUAAAGAGACAACAUUACCCUCACAAGACUGACAGAUUCAGAGCUCCUCCUCUUCUCUCCUCC